UAAAACCCCUACUUCAUUUUUGUCCCAUCUCCUGCUUUCACAUAGCUAGCUCUAACUGGAGAACCCGCUGAGAAAUCCCACACAAAUCUAGGGCGUGAGGGUUUAUUUUGCAGGUUUUCCGUUCUGGUAGGUCACAAUCUUUUAAUUCGUUGCUCAUUUUACUUCUUUCUCCUCACCUUCAAUUGUGGUUGCAGUAGCUAUUUCAUUUUUAUGCACUAAAAAAUAUAAAAAUAUUCAAUCUUGGUUACUGAUUUCUUGCAUUUUGCUUUAAUUUUAUGGAUAGUCUUGUUGAAGAUUUGAAAUAAAACUAAGUAGAAAUAUGGGUCUAUUUAUUUAUUUUUAAUUUUGGGCUGCUAUUCAGUGUGGGUAAACAUAUUUCAUGGCUAUGAUAAUUUUUCUUGAAUCUUGUUGCUGGUAUAUAUCUAUCGAAUGUUUUAUGCUUUAUUUUAUGGAACACUACUCCCGUAAUUAUCUUGUAUUUUCAUUUUUGGUGGGUUGGAGUGUAUGGUUUGGAUUCUUAUUUAAUUUGCUGAGACGUGUAAGUGUAAGAUGUGUUUAUGCAUUUUCUAUAUUUAGCUGUGACCUUUUCGUUUGAAGACAAUUCUUUCAUAGAACAUUGGAGGUAUAUUCUUAUUUAUUUUCUAUUACAUCUCUUGAAAUAAGGUUUCAUUUAAUCUCGUGAUUUGGGUAAAUUCAAUUAAUUAACUUUCGACUUAUCUUUCUGAAAUUUUGCUUCCAUUUUCUGCUACUUAUAAUAUUUGCCAAAUUCUUGUUUUUUUUUUUAUUAAUUUUGUCAUAUGUUGAGCAAAUGGUGCUAUGAAUAGCUAGGUAUAAUGAGAUGACUCAGGUCACUGAUGCUCUGUUUUCCGAAAUGGAAUUCUCUUGGAUCAACAUAUUAUAAUUGUUACUUGUUGCAUCUAAUAUAUGUUGGUAGGGAAUUCCUUGUUCAAUUGGAGAUGGUUUAGCGUUCUAGGGACUAAUCAAUUUAUUAAUUUAAUUGAACUAUAUCUUUCCAAAUUCUUUCCUUUAACAAGUUAAAUUAUAUGAUCUUAGAUCCCAAUGAACUAUUUUCUGUUCUGAUAUUGUCAAAGCUUAACUUUUCAUGUUUUCUGCUCACAUACAUUUUAUGGAAGAAAUGGUCGAAACUCCAAUUCAAAGUAGAGAUUGUGCGACUACAUCAAUAACUUAGAAGGAUUUCGACGGAAAUUGAUUACAUACAUAGACGAAUAACAAACCUUUAUAGUUCACAUUCUGCUUUAUGUUGAGCUUUGUGGUAGAUUUGAAUAUGUCUUGGGCAUCUGAUUGGUUCGUCUUGGGCAUCUGAUUGGUUCCUGGUCUUUAUUUUGGGUUCUAUUCAUCAGUUUUAGAAACUGCCUACUUAACCAUGUGAGUUGUAUCUCAAUGUGGCAGCUAAUUGUUGGUUACCGAAAUUAGGAUUUCAUUUAUUCUCUCAGCAUAGACUGUUCUUUUUUGAGUAGCUUGACAUCAUGAAUACAUAUUUAGUCUAUAAGGGAAAGAAAAUAUUAUUGCAACAUUUCUUUUUCUUCUAUUUCUCUUUCAUUUUCUUUGUCAUGAUUUUAGCAGGUUACUUAAGAAUAGAAAGACCUUGCAACUAUCUAUGUUGCAGGCAUGUAAAAAAGUUAAGAAUAACUUUUUAAUAAUGGAAACACUAUAUGUUCCCUCUUGAUGGUCAAAAGUUCUUUUUCACAGUAGAAACUUUUUUAGAACUUCUUACACUAGUGGACAUCUAGUUUUGAGGAACUACAUCAAAAACGUUUUCUGUCUUGUUCUUAAGUCUUUGGAUUUGUUGCUAGGUAAAUUUGUAUAGUCUUCUAGUCUUGUAGACCUCUCUUCCUUUUACCCCUUCAGAUGGUCAAUUUGAUUUUCUUUGAAGUUUAAUUUCACAGUAGUAAUUUCUCUAUCCUUACUAAUUACAAUGAUAAGAAAAGUUAAGAUUUAACUUAAGAUGUGUCUUGACAUUAGUUUGUAUGUAUAUAUUAAGAAUAUAUAUCUUUUGUAAAUAUUUUACUUAAUCGUUUAUUUAUAAUCCUCGUAGGUGGAGCAAAUGUACAAAAGUAGAUGAUGAAAGCAGUGAAGACCAUACUUGAGGGCGUUGGUUCUGUUAGAGCUUCAUAUGUUCUAGGAUCUUCUAAUUUAGAGUUUUUUGCAAACUUAUCUAUGCUAACUUUGAAUUGCUAAACAAUUCAUUAUUUAGCUAUUUUGCUUUUAAGUAGAUGAUGUUAGUUGAAUAUAUUGGAAAACUAUAUUGAUUACUAGUCUCAUUUCGUG
RNAcentral lists this long non-coding RNA (2289 nucleotides) under Nicotiana benthamiana. Its description in RNAcentral is "long non-coding RNA (NBEN_LNC008573)". Lineage: Eukaryota; Viridiplantae; Streptophyta; Magnoliopsida; Solanales; Solanaceae. The record is from RNAcentral.